AGAAUCAACGCUGGCGGCGUGCCUAACACAUGCAAGUCGCACGAGAAAGGGACUUCGGUCCUGAGUACAGUGGCGCACGGGUGAGUAACACGUGAAUCAUCUACCUUCGAGUGGGGAAUAAACUGAGAGAAAUCUUAGCUAAUACCGCAUAAUACCCACGGGUCAAAGCAGCAAUGCGCUUGAAGAGGAGUUCGCGGCAGAUUAGUUAGUUGGCGGGGUAAUGGCCCACCAAGACGAUGAUCUGUAUCCGGCCUGAGAGGGCGCACGGACACACUGGAACUGAAACACGGUCCAGACUCCUACGGGAGGCAGCAGUGGGGAAUUUUGCGCAAUGGGGGAAACCCUGACGCAGCAACGCCGCGUGGAGGAUGAAAUCCCUUGGGAUGUAAACUCCUUUCGAUAGGGAAGAUAAUGACGGUACCUAUAGAAGAACGCCCGGCUAACUUCGCGCCAGCAGCCGC
This 461-nucleotide ribosomal RNA is filed under the name uncultured bacterium. Its description in RNAcentral is "SSU rRNA". It matches the Rfam family "Bacterial small subunit ribosomal RNA", at positions 26 to 518 of the family's 1533-position model. The record is from RNAcentral.